This 497-nucleotide ribosomal RNA is filed under the name uncultured bacterium. Its description in RNAcentral is "partial 16S ribosomal RNA". It matches the Rfam family "Bacterial small subunit ribosomal RNA", at positions 28 to 507 of the family's 1533-position model. The record is from RNAcentral.
GAUGAACGCUGGCGGCGUGCCUAAUACAUGCAAGUCGAGCGAACAGACGAGGCGCUUGCUCCUCUGACGUUAGCGGCGGACGGGUGAGUAACACGUGGAUAACCUACCUAUAAGACUGGGAUAACUUCGGGAAACCGGAGCUAAUACCGGAUAAUCUAUUGAACCGCAUGGUUCAAUAGUGAAAGACGGUUUUGCUGUCACUUAUAGAUGGAUCCGCGCCGCAUUAGCUAGUUGGUAAGGUAACGGCUUACCAAGGCGACGAUGCGUAGCCGACCUGAGAGGGUGAUCGGCCACACUGGAACUGAGACACGGUCCAGACUCCUACGGGAGGCAGCAGUAGGGAAUCUUCCGCAAUGGGCGAAAGCCUGACGGAGCAACGCCGCGUGAGUGAUGAAGGUCUUCGGAGCGUAAAACUCUGUUAUUAGGGAAGAACAAAUGUGUAAGUAACUAUGCACGUCUUGACGGUACCUAAUCAGAAAGCCACGGCUAACUACGUG